GACAACACCUUGGAGGUCCCAAGGUGGUUAGAUUGGUCUCAACUAGGGCCAGGGCCUUUUCAGCACUGGCCCCGACUUGGUGGAACGUGCUGUCACAAGAGACUAGGGCCCUGUGGGACUUGACAUCUUUCCACAGGGCCAGCAAGACAGAGCUGUUCCACUUGGCCUUUGGUUUGGACUCAGCCUGACCCUUAUGUUUUCCCUCCCCUUAUGGUCUUGAUCUAUGGGCUACUAUUAAAAUGAGGCUGCAUUUUAAAUUAUAUUUUAACCUCUAUUUUAAAUUUGUUUAUUUAUUUAUUUUAUUUUUUAUUGUAAUUUUACUGGUGUUAGCCACCCUGAGCCCGGCUCUGACCAGGGAGGGCGGGGUAUAAAUAAAAAUGUAUUAUUAUUAUUAUUAGUCAUUCGCUACCACCAGUGCUCCUGUGCUCGAAUCCUGCUUACUGGUUUCCCACAGGCCACUGUGAGAACAGGAUGUCGGACUAGGUGGGCCACUGGCCUGAUUCAGUCAACUCUUAUGUUUGAUUACACAAACUUUGACCACAAACUUGACAUGAGCCAACAGUGUGACGCGGCAGCUAAAAAAGCCAAUGCAAUUCUGGGCUGCAUCAAUAGGAGUAUAGCAUCUAGAUCAAAGGAAGUAAUAGUGCCACUGUAUUCUGCUCUGGUCAGACCUCACCUGGAGUACUGUGUCCAGUUCUGGGCACCACAGUUCAAGAAGGACACUGACAAACUGGAACGCGUCCAGAGGAGGGCAACCAAAAUGGUCAAAGGCCUGGAAACGAUGCCUUAUGAGGAACGGCUAAGGGAGCUGGGCAUGUUUAGCCUGGAGAAGAGGAGGUUAAGGGGUGAUAUGAUAGCCAUGUUCAAAUAUCUAAAAGGAUGUCACAUAGAGGAGGGAGAAAGGUUGUUUUCUGCUGCUCCAGAGAAGCGGACACGGAGCAAUGGAUCCAAACUACAAGAAAGAAGAUUCCACCUAAACAUUAGGAAGAACUUCCUGACAGUAAGAGCUGUUCGACAGUGGAAUUUGCUGCCAAGGAGUGUGGUGGAGUCUCCUUCUUUGGAGGUCUUUAAGCAGAGGCUUGACAACCAUAUGUCAGGAAUGCUCUGAUGGUGUUUCCUGCUUGGCAGGGGGUUGGACUCGAUGGCCCUUGUGGUCUCUUCCAACUCUAUGAUUCUAUGAUUCUUCUUCUCCUCUGAUGUUGCUGCUUGUGCAAAACUCAUUUGUGCCUCGAGAGCUUUCGAUGCACAAUGCAACUCUUUGCACUUGUGCAGGUCCUUGCAGCCUCUCUGAUCUGGGGGAAGCCUUCGGCUCAGAGGGAGAGAAAUUGACAGAAGAACAAGGAAUAAAGUCUUUCUGUGGUCUUGGAAGCUUGAAGUACAGAGGCUGGUACACAGGCUGAGACCCUACCUGCCCGCAGACUGUCUCGCCAGAGUGGUGCAUGCUCUAGUUAUCUCCCGCUUGGACUACUGAAAUGCGCUCUACGUGGGGCUACCUUUGAAGGUGACCCGGAAACUACAACUAAUCCAGAAUGCGGCAGCUAGACUGGUGAUUGGGAGCGGCCGCCGAGACCAUAUAACACCGGUCUUGAAAGACCUACACUGGCUCCCAGUAAGUUUCCAAGCACAAUUCAAAGUGUUGGUGCUGACCUUUAAAGCCCUAAACGGCCUCGGUCCAGUAUACCUGAAGGAGCGUCUCCACCCCCAUCGUUCUGCCUGGACACUGAGGUCCAGCGCCGAGGGCCUUCUGACGGUUCCCUCGCUGCGAGAAGCCAAGUUACAGGGAAACAGGCAGAGGGCCUUAUCGGUAGUGGUACCCACCCUGUGGAAUGCCCUCCCUCCAGAUGUCAAAGAGAAAAACAACUACCAGACUUUUAGAAGACAUCUGAAGGCAGCCUUGUUUAGGGAAGCUUUUAAUGUUUAAUAGGUUAUUGUAUUUUAGUGUUCUGUUGUUCUGUUGGAAGCCGCCCAGAGUGGCUGGGGAAACCCAGCCAGAUGGGUGGGGUAAAAAUAAAUUAGUAGUAGUAGUAGUAGUAGUAGUAGUAGUAGUAUUAGAGCAAAAGAUGGAGGAGAGAGACUCCUCUUUUCCUGAUCCGAUCGAAGCAGGGAGCUGUGAAGCUUACAGGGACAGGACAGCGCAGAAGACGCUGGGAGAGGAAAAGGCCACGUCAGAUGCUCCGCAAAGGCGCUUCAGACGUUUCCACUACCAGGAGGCCGGAGGACCCCGUAAGGCUUGCAGUCAGCUCCAUCACUUUUGCCGUCAGUGGCUGAAGCCGGAAAGUAACACCAAGGCCCAGAUGUUGGACCUGGUGGUCCUGGAGCAGUUCCUGGCUGUCCUCCCCCCGGAGAUGGAGAACUGGGUCAGGGAGUGUGGAGCGGAGACCAGCUCCCAGGCGGUGGCCCUGGCCGAAGGCUUCCUCCUGAGCCAGGCAGAGGGGAAGAAGCAGGAAGAGGAGAAGCAGGUGAGAUUGUUUUAUUGUCAUCUGAAGAGGUAGACAACAGGAUCAGUAAUACAGCUGUACCUUGGUUGACGAACGCCUUGCGACUCGAAUGUUUUGGCUCCCAAAUGCCGCAAACCCGGAAGUGAGUGUUUGCAAACGUUCUUUGGAACCCGG
This 2612-nucleotide long non-coding RNA is filed under the name Podarcis lilfordi (Lilford's wall lizard). The record is from RNAcentral. Lineage: Eukaryota; Metazoa; Chordata; Lepidosauria; Squamata; Lacertidae.